RNAcentral lists this transfer RNA (64 nucleotides) under Luperus sulphuripes. RNAcentral's name for it is "tRNA-Glu". The record is from RNAcentral. Lineage: Eukaryota; Metazoa; Arthropoda; Insecta; Coleoptera; Chrysomelidae.
AUUUAUAUAGUUUAAUAAAAACAUCAUAUUUUCAUUAUGAAAUUAGAAUUACACCUUAUAAAUA